Molecule: long non-coding RNA, 1203 nt
Filed under: Anas zonorhyncha (Eastern spot-billed duck)
Lineage: Eukaryota; Metazoa; Chordata; Aves; Anseriformes; Anatidae
Description: lncRNA (ENSAZOG00000000282.1)
Source: RNAcentral
AUGGGCACGGAGCUCCUGACAGCAGCCCUCACCCUGCCAGGCUGCAAAACGCAACCCCGUGCCUGCAAACGGCUCUGGUGCCCUGGGGAAAAGCAUCUGCUGCUCCACAUGGGGCGGUGCCACAAUGGGGACAGGUCCCCAGACCCCUCCAUGAGUCCCCACAUCCCGCUCGGUCCCCAAGUGCCAAGUCCCCGAGCACAGAGCAGAGGCAGAAGGGCUGCAGGAGAAAGAUGGGGGCACGGGGAUGCAGCAGGACGGUCCCCGAGCCACGUGAGCACAGCACUGCAGCCCCACAGCAUCCCCUUGCCCUGUCCCACGGUGACCCACGAGUGGGGACACCCAGUGCUGCGGCCUCACUCGCACCCAGGUCUCCCUUCCCCUCCUGGAAGGAACAAAAGCGCUUUGUGGCUGCUUCGGGGACAGAGCUGGGACAGCAAACGUGGCCUGGCCACGGGGAUCUGCCAGAGCUCUGCAUCACAGCAGGGAUGGGGACAGCAACGCCACAUCCCACCCUGCACCGUGGACCCCCCCAAACCCCUCCUGCUCCCCAAAAAGCACGAGCUGACCCUCACAGCAGCCGGAUCCGCAGUGGCACGCCGAGCGAUCCCGCUGCGCCUCGGGGACGGACACAAAGAGGGGCACCGAGGGCACCCCCUGCCCCCUCCCCGCGCAGCCCCAGCCCCCCAGAGAGGGGCACGGCAGCGCUGGAGCCUCUGGGAGCCGCAGGCCGAGAAGAUGCCUGGGAUUUCUUUUUUUUUUUUUUUUUUUUUUUUUUNNNNNNNNNNGCCCCCCCCCCUGUUCCUCUUUCCCACAGCCCGGCGGCACGACAGCCACCUCCAGCCCCAGUGCCACCAGCCCAGCCCCAGUGGCCCCGCAGGUGGGGACAAGGACGGCGUCACCACGUCCCCCCCCAUGGCGUCAGGCAGCCCCAGGUGGUCCGGGGAGUGGCUGCCGGGGAGGAAGAGCUCGGGGAGGAAGAGCUCGCAGCCUCCUGCUUCCUCCCCCCCUCGGGCACCACCGGCGACACCACGGCCCCGUGACGCUCACGGGGAAGGGGACAGUGUCUGGAAGCGUGGUCCCGGCACCAGCCAGCUACGUACCCGCUCAGCCAGACGCCCCCACGGCUGCAGCAUCUGCCCCCCUCCCCGGGCACGUCUCAGAGCUGCCCCCGCCACGCACGGAUUUCCCCUGCCACGCAGCUGA